This is a long non-coding RNA of Daphnia pulicaria, 1821 nucleotides long. RefSeq lists it as uncharacterized. Lineage: Eukaryota; Metazoa; Arthropoda; Branchiopoda; Diplostraca; Daphniidae. The transcript has 5 exons. The record is from RefSeq and is a predicted model, not a curated record.
CAUUUGCCUUGAGUGUUUGUUUUUGCGGUCUGCUGUGUCGUCUGUGACCCUUAAAAUGGAUAUUAAAGUGUUAGAGUCGGAUUUUGAGAAGGACUUAGGGGAAUUAAAAAAUAACAUUGAAAAACUAUUGAAAGAUGCCAAACACAUUCAGUAACUGAAGAACAGCAGCUACACACAAUCAAGCCAACGGCUAAAUAGGCAACUGAAGAACCUCAGACUAUGUGCUAGGAAAUUGAAGAAAAAUACUCCAGAGGUAGGUUUUUGUAAUUUAAACUUUUAUUGUAUCAUACUCUAGUGAUGGCCAUGGUGCACAGUUCCUUCUGUGUAAUCAUGAAAGUCGAGCCACCCACCAACCCUCAGCUGCUAACGGCAAUCAAACCCCAGGGGAAUCAGGCUGGGAUAACACUGAAGGUUGCAAUUCAUCCAACCUCGCGCAUGUUCAAGUGUGAAGUUCGCAAAAAGUCCUUCAUGAAUCUGUUAGUUUAAGGAGCCAUCGGAUUAGCCACUUCAGGAAGCCGAGGGGAAAGUCUAACAAAGAAAAUGGAUGUUUGUGCCAGCCGCCAACUGCUCAUUUACCUACAUGCACCCACAAUACCCAUACCUCGAUAAACAUACAUUUUCCUUGAGUGUUUGUUUUUGCCGUCUGCUGUGUCCUCCGUUACCCUUAAAAUAGAUAUUAAAGUGUUAGAGUCAGAUUUUGAGAAGAACUUAGAGGAAAUUGAAAAUCAGAUUGAAAGACUCAUGAAAGAUGCAAUAAAAAUUCAUCAAAAAAAGAAAAGCAGUAAACAACAAUCAAGCAAACAACUAAAUAGGCAACUGAAGUAGGUGCACGACGAAAUCAACAUCAUGAAAGAUCGGCUCUCUCGAGCCACCAUUAUUAGUGGCGAAUAUCAAUCAUUUUUACACCGUGCAUACCAAAAAUUUCUGAGUUGGCAUCGGGAGCUCGUCAAAAUUAGGAUAUCCCUCGUAGCCACACUAGAACUCUGUGAAGCCUUGGUCGCGAAGCCGAGUGACACGGAGCAUUUCUGUGUUGAUUUGCUUUUUGCCCGAACGUAACCUAAGUUGCACUAAGCAUUGUUUUCUCAUUGACGUAUUCAUGUUUUAAAAUGUAACUUUCUUUCGCUUAUAACUUUCUACUUUAACUAACUUUCUUCAUCCAUUAUUGUAUUUAGAAAAGCAUUUUAAGUACAGCUUCUUUAAUCGAUAAAAUGCAAACACCCCGGUUUACAAUCCUACAAAAAAUAUAUUUUGGUUUCUAUAUAAUAUGUAUUAACGUGCGUAUUGAAGAAAUCACCAGUAAUGAAAUUACUUUUUGCUAUGGACAUUUGUUUGUCCUAUAACUGGACUUCAGUUGACAUUUUGAGGCCGUUGUCAGCCAUUUCUUUUUUAUGUUCUCCAGACGUCUGGUAAAAUCUCAAUGGAUGACAGUGGCCUAUUGUUUUUUUGUCCAGAGAGCAAAAAAAAACGUAUUUACUCACAAUUUGUUAUUGUUGAAGGCCAUGUAGAGUUGGUGAAAUAAUCAAUGUGAAUUGGAAUUGGUUUGCAUAGAUUCUGCAAAAUAUUUGAAAACAUUUGGAGAGGAGAAAAGUAACCUGGAAUAGUCUGACAAUCUCUUUUUUAUGUAAUCGUCGUAGCCAGAAGGUGAAUUUACAGAACUCCUAGUGAAAAACGACAUUCUUUUUGUAUUUUAUUUUUUCUCGUGUCUUUGACCUACCGUCGUUUCGAUCCAUCCGUAACAACCAUGCGAUCUUUGAAUUUAAUUUGGAUGUGUCUGAGCAAAAUACGAUGUGUAUUUUCUCUUCCAACCAGUCAUUAUUAACU